GAUGAAUUGGAGUUCUAGUUCAUUUACUUUGAGAAAAUUAGAGUGUUUAAAGCAGCCUCUUGGGGCACUGAAUACAUUAGCAUGGGAUAAUAAAAUAGGAUCUUUACAAUAUAUUUUAUUGGUUUAAAUUGAAAUAAAGAUAAUGAUUAAUAGGGACAGUUGGGGGUAUUCAUAUUGGGUGGUUAGCGGUGAAAUGCUCGGAUCCAUUCAAGAUGAACUAAAGCGAAAGCAUUUACCAAGGAUGUUUUCAUUAAUCAAGAACGAAAGUUAAGGGAUCGAAGACGAUUAGAUACCGUCGUAGUCUUAACUAUAAACUAUGCCGACCAGGGAUAUGAGUUGUUAAGAUUAUGCGAAAGCAUAGUCAAUUUCUUCUUAUGGACCUUGUGAGAAAUCAUAAGUUAUUAGGUUCUGGGGGG
This 416-nucleotide ribosomal RNA is filed under the name uncultured eukaryote. RNAcentral's name for it is "bacterial SSU rRNA". It matches the Rfam family "Eukaryotic small subunit ribosomal RNA", at positions 729 to 1121 of the family's 1831-position model. The record is from RNAcentral.